AUGUACAGAAUUAUUCUCAUUGGCCCAUAUCAUACAACGCAUAACCAGCUGACAAUUAAGAAUCUCAUUUAUAACUUAAAACCAGAUAUUCAAAUUAGUAACACCUACAACUACACUAGAGGAAAAAUACAAAAGAACCCUACCAACCAAAGGUACAAUUUUCCAUGUGCCUCAGUAAAACUGUGAUGAGGAAUUGAUGACCAGCUAAACGGAAUGCUACUGCAAUCUUUGAGAGCAAUCCUUCGAUCAUUGACACCCCCUCCCACAAACUUACAUUCUCAAGUCUAACACACAUACUGUAUUGUUGGCAAAGCAUGCUGCAAUUUUGUCACCUUCCUUGUUCCAGCAAACUUCAAAUAUUCCACCAUUGCCUGUGUACGUUUUCACGAUCUUAACUUCCUUCAAAGACCAGAUGUUGACACAUCUAUCAAGGGACCCACUAGCCAGAUACUCCCCAUUUGGGCUAAAUGCUACCGAGUACACAGGAUCCCUGUGUCCAUUCAAACUGCAAGUAAGUUUCCCAAGUUCCACAUCCCAUAAUUUCACUGUUGAGUCAAAUGAUGCACUCGCUAGGAGUAAUUGCUGGUUAGGAUUGUUUGUACCAGGUCCAGUGGGGC
This 617-nucleotide unclassified non-coding RNA is filed under the name Hevea brasiliensis (rubber tree). Lineage: Eukaryota; Viridiplantae; Streptophyta; Magnoliopsida; Malpighiales; Euphorbiaceae. The record is from RNAcentral.